RNAcentral lists this ribosomal RNA (425 nucleotides) under uncultured bacterium. RNAcentral describes it as "partial 16S ribosomal RNA". It matches the Rfam family "Bacterial small subunit ribosomal RNA", at positions 354 to 796 of the family's 1533-position model. The record is from RNAcentral.
GUGGGGAAUAUUGGGCAAUGGGCGAAAGCCUGACCCAGCAACGCCGCGUGAAGGAAGAAGGUUUUCGGAUCGUAAACUUCUAUCCUUGGUGAAGAUAAUGACGGUAGCCAAGAAGGAAGCCCCGGCUAACUACGUGCCAGCAGCCGCGGUAAUACGUAGGGGGCAAGCGUUGUCCGGAAUGAUUGGGCGUAAAGGGCGCGUAGGCGGCCCGGUAAGUCUGAAGUGAAAGUCCUGCUUUUAAGGUGGGAAUUGCUUUGGAUACUGUCGGGCUUGAGUGCAGGAGAGGUAAGCGGAAUUCCCGGUGUAGCGGUGAAAUGCGUAGAGAUCGGGAGGAACACCAGUGGCGAAGGCGGCUUACUGGACUGUAACUGACGCUGAGGCGCGAAAGUGUGGGGAGCAAACAGGAUUAGAUACCCUGGUAGUCC